RNAcentral lists this ribosomal RNA (301 nucleotides) under uncultured bacterium. RNAcentral describes it as "partial 16S ribosomal RNA". It matches the Rfam family "Bacterial small subunit ribosomal RNA", at positions 509 to 807 of the family's 1533-position model. The record is from RNAcentral.
CAGUCGCCGCGGUAAAACGGAGGGGGCUAGCGUUGUUCGGAAUUACUGGGCGUAAAGGGAGCGUAGGCGGAUCGUUAAGUUGGGGGUGAAAGCCCGGGGCUCAACCUCGGAAUUGCCUUCAAUACUGGCGAUCUUGAGUAUGGAAGAGGUAUGUGGAACUCCGAGUGUAGAGGUGAAAUUCGUAGAUAUUCGGAAGAACACCAGUGGCGAAGGCGACAUACUGGUCCAUUACUGACGCUGAGGUUCGAAAGCGUGGGGAGCAAACAGGAUUAGAUACCCGGGUAGUCCCUGUCUCUUAUAC